UACGUAGGUGGCGAGCGUUGUCCGGAUUUACUGGGCGUAAAGAGCGCGCAGGCGGCUGGGUAAGUCCGAUGUGAAAGCUUCCGGCUUAACUGGAAAACGGCAUCGGAAACUGCUCGGCUUGAAGGUGGGAGAGGGUAGCGGAAUUCCCGGUGUAGUGGUGAAAUGCGUAGAUAUCGGGAGGAACACCAGUGGCGAAGGCGGCUACCUGGCCCAUUCUUGACGCUGAGGCGCGAAAGCUAGGGGAGCGAACGGG
This 253-nucleotide ribosomal RNA is filed under the name uncultured bacterium. RNAcentral describes it as "partial 16S ribosomal RNA". It matches the Rfam family "Bacterial small subunit ribosomal RNA", at positions 524 to 776 of the family's 1533-position model. The record is from RNAcentral.